AUAAGUAGCGAGCGAACCGAAUAUUAAAUACAAAAAAACAGCUAUACCUUGGUACGUUUUUGAGCGUUCAGCAUAUCAGAAGAAUAGAAGUUAGGAUUAUUGUUGGGAUUUUCACCUUCAACCAUUGGGGAAUGGGUACCUUGGCGUUUAAUCCCCUGAAGACUAUAGGGCGGAACAGAGGCAAUCGGCAUGGAUUGAGGAAGAAUUGAUGGAUCCAUAUUGGGGAUAUUAUUUUGGUCCAAAAGACGAUUAGCUUGACUAAUUGCAUUAGCAGGCAUAGUGGGAGGUUGCUUGGCAUAACGAUAAUUAGAGGCAAGACUAGCAACAUCACCAUUCCUAGGCGAGCCAUUAAACCCCGAGGGGGCUGGAUUUGCAUAUGGAAUAUUAGAGGAAGUAGACUUUUGCAUUUGAUGCUGUUGUUGUAAAGCUGUAGCAAAUUUAUGUAAAGCGCUAGUCGGACCCGAUCGCUGAGCAAGAGUGAAGGCUAUGAGAUCGCGCAUUCCCGAAAUUGUUUCAGUAAUUUCCAUGAACCGCAUGAUGUGCGGUUCCAAUCCAUAUUCGUUGACGGGUGAAUCCGGCAAAAGAGAAGAAGAUGAGUUAAUAUUUACACUUUCGGAUGACGGAUCCUCACUUUUUACCCCAUCGUGUUGUAUUUGAUUUUGAGGAGGCCGCGACUGCGAAAGGGCUAGGGAAGCGUUUGUCAUUAACUCGCGCAAAAGAUACUCGGAAUGUCCGACAGCUGAAAACUCUAAAGAGUCUAAUUUUAACAAAGGAGCACGAAAGAAAUGAGCCCGCAAGUGCCCCGAUACAAUUACCUGUACACCGCCUUGAUACUGAUAUAAAAUGCUUGCCCUUGACGAUUCCACAAAAUACCCAUUGUUUGGAAUGGCAAAUUCCUUUGUAUUUCCCAAAAGGAACGACAUCUUUUUAAGUUUGCCGCAAUAACUCAGAUAUAAGAAGCGCGGAAGUGCUGCAUACGAUAAUUCAAACAAUUUCGGCUCCUGGUUUGGCGAAUCUUUGUAGUCGAUGUUAUAGCGAAAUGUUCCCUUUUCAGUAUAAAAAUCAUGCACAAAUCGUCUCCAAUACCCAAUAUCAUCUUUCAUGGUACUUUCCCAUCCUGACAUUAACUGUUCAUUAUAUUGUAAUAAUCGCAAAACACCGUAUCCUAGUAUAUUCGAGCCAUUAUGAUACAUCAUGGACGCAUAGUUUGCAACCAUAGCUGCGAAAUUUACAAGAAAGCCACCAGCGCUGCAGAAUUGGAUUUGUUCAAAGUGCAAAGCGCUUGUGAAACAUUAACGGCCGGAGCCCGCCAUGCAUGGUUAACCCUUUAAGUGAAUUAGAGAUUGGCACGCUACGUUAAAGACAUUUAGAAAAUGUGAUGCGCUGUGU
Schizosaccharomyces pombe (fission yeast) is the source of this 1389-nucleotide non-coding RNA. The record is from the annotation of a GenBank genome assembly. Lineage: Eukaryota; Fungi; Ascomycota; Schizosaccharomycetes; Schizosaccharomycetales; Schizosaccharomycetaceae.